GAGGGAGCAGGGCGGGCGCCCGAGCGGGACACCCAGGCGGGGGCCGAGAAGGUGUUUUCUCCCCCGCCCCCAGGCUCGCAGCGAGGGAGGAGGCCGGUGGAAAGCGAGACUAGCGCCUGGCGCGGGGAAUCGAUGACUCGGCCGGUGGGCACGGCCACCUGGGCGGGGGCAGCAGGGGGGGGCGGCGGAGCGCCGAUGUCAUGGAUGGGCUCGUAGGGGCUUGCGGGAGGGGGCCGCCAGUGUUCGGGGCCGUUUUGGUGGCUAGGCGGGAUUGGCCGGAGCUGCGGUGCUCGCGCUCGCCUCGCCGACCGCCAUUUCACAUCCUGCGAAGAAGGCGGGGGCAGCCGUGGAGACGGCUUUUCACAAGGUGCCUGUGGAAUGUUACCGUUGAAAUGGAGCUUACAAGUUCUAGUCCAGUGGAUUUCAAGCCUUUUCAAAUCUCAAAAUCCUUGGUAAACAAGCCUGAGAAAAGCAAACCAGUUGUGGCUGAGUUGGGGUUGGAGGCCCAGAGCCGCCCUGACCCCUGCGAGAGCCCACCAGGGACAUUUUGACCCGCAGGACAUUUUGAAAGUCACAAGUCUAGUCCAGCGCCCUAGUCAAGCAGGGACCAUCUCCACAGCAUCUCUGUAAUCCUGGAAAGCAGGGAGAUUGCUAGCUCACAAAACAGCCAAUUCCAAAGCUGGGUGGUAUUUUCGGUCAGAAUGUUUUGCCAGAUGCUGAGCACGCCUAACUUCCUACAAAUUUUUCCCACCGGUUUUAGUUUGACCAGGUCCCAUAGUUUAGGUUGUGGCCAUGGAUGGUUGCUCAUCUAUCAUGAGCUAAGAACAGUCCCUUCCCUUGAUGUGAGCAUCGAUAUGUUCGUCAUGAACGAUUUCAUUCGAUCUUUACAACACUGUAAGUAUUAGUGACCCAUUUUACGAUUAGGGACAUGGAGGCACAGAGAAGCCUAAGCAGUUGGCCCGCAGUCACACAACUAUACAUGAGGAAGCAGAAUUUGAACCGGGUCUAUCUGACACAACAGCGUGGGUCCUUUUCACUAUGCUACUCUGCCUCUCUGGUGAGGCAGGGGUCAGAAUAGGACACAGAUGCAGGAGCCCGCUCUCCGCACAGCCCUGUCCCCUGCCCUCUUGGGACUUCACAUUUGUUGGUCAACAACCAAGUCAGCAGAGCACUGUUUUCCAGAGCCUUGGACGUUCCAGAGCACAUGUGAAUCUCCCCUUGCUCCUGAUAGGAACAGAGUCCCAGAGACGUGGUCACUUAAGACAGAGCCAGAACCAACACCCCCCACUGCUGCCUGGGCUUCUUCACCCAUCGUCAUGCCGCCUUCAGUUGGUUUCUAGUGAAGGACAGGCCUUCACAGAAGAAAGAGCCCCUCUCUGAGGGGCGGCGAGGUGCUGUGGUCCCCCCACCACUCACCAUUCGAUGAAUGUACUUAGUAUGUAAGCCAUGCUCAUCCUCGUCCAGCUGUGAUUCAGCACCUUCCACAUCCUGUUUGUAUUUGGGGCUGAUUGCUACAAUUAUCAUCACUGUCUUCUGUUAAUGAGAGAGAAAGCAUGUUUAUGGAAGUGUAAAGUGUGGUCCAUUUGGUGAAGGCAGGCUGGAAACUGGCCAGCAGGACUGUAAGCGUCGUGACAUGCUCCAGAGUGGAGGGCCUGGCUCAUUCUCUGCCCAGGGUGAAAGGCACUGGCCUCCACUCCAACAGGCUCCUGUCUCCCCUUCUCCCCUCCGUCUCCCUCCCGGCUCCCUUGAAAUGCAGAGCAAAUGGCUCUGUGAGGAGCUCUCCUAAAUGGAGGCGGUUUUGCCCACCAUUGUCCACAACCAUCACUAAUAAACGUCUAAUGAAAGCCGGAAUCGCUAAGUGACUGUGCAUCGUGGCAAAAAGGCUCUGGAACAUCACCGAUGAAAAGCCCCCUCCCUCCGGCAGCUGGGUGUAAGCUGUCAGUUACUGCACUCUUGACUGCCCUGCGCUUACGAGUCAGCACAGCCAGGAGGAGCAGCCGCUUCAACACAAAGCAAACAUCAGGCUGCAGACAAAAGGAAAAGCCACAAAACCCCAGCCUGCUGAGACUCUCUCCCCCACUGCUCUCUCCAAAAGCAGCAGCUGAAGCGGCCGACACGGACACACUGGCAGCAAUCAAUUUCUAUCUUGUUAAAGCACAAAGUGUCCCAGUGGCCAGUAUAGAUUCUGUCAGUGGAAAACAAAUCACAGGGCUCCGAGUGGGCGCCUGGAUUGGGGAGGGGGGACGGUUGCUGCACAGGGAGCCUCCCGGGAAAGCUCUGGAGCCCAAUCCUGCAAAACGCUUGGGGUGGCCUCAGAUUAAAUUGAAUUCUGUCAUUCCCUCCCCACUCCCUGCCUUCAUUUCCUCCUUUCCUAUUCUGGUCAAAAAAUUGUUUGCUCUGAUUGUUAUCAACCACCUGUGUCUGGUUUGACCGUUAUUUCCUGCCUGUGCAUGUCCAGAAGGGUGACCCCAUCCUUCCUUUCCAGGUCUUUGCGCGGCUGCCAACAAGGGAGGCUUUGUUGGGACUUUCUUGGCUUUGGACUUGGUGGGUUUGCCAAUUGCUCCUUUCAUAAAAUAGCCCCAUAAGCACAUUGUCUUUCCCACCAGCCAACGAGCUCAGAAUUUUGGAAUGUACUUACAUCUCUAAGGUAGCGUUCCAUCCACUUGAUGAUAUCAAUGCCUCGGAUUCUAUCCUCAAAUAUGUCAAUCUACAAGAAAAAGACAUGGGAGGUGGCUCUUAAUGAGAAGCUUUCUCUAGUUGCAGAGCAAGAGAAAACACGAGACUAUAUGCAUUUAAGACUGAAAAAAUUAUGAGCACUUUUUGCAGAGAGCAGCAUAUAAGUCUAAAAGCCAAAAUACAAUUUUCUUAAAGUGUUCCCUAUUUCGACGUUAGUAGGCAUUUAAGUAUUUAAUAUCCGUAAUUAGGAUAUAGUGGUACACAUCAAAAUGUAUCUUUGGCUACACAAUAAUUAUGUUUUAAAAAUCUGAGAGAUAUAGUAGACUACCAAAUUGGAUAUAAGCCAGCAAAAAAAAAAAAUUAUAUCUAUAUAUAUAUCUGUAAUAUGAAAGGCAAACACGAUAUGAUUCUGGAGCAUUUUAAUGGAUGUGUGGUGUGCAAGUACUGAGAUAUAGUUCGGGUGCUUUACUUGCAUUAGCCAGGUCAUUAUUAUGGUAUUAUGUCCAGUUUCGUUCUAUACAUUUAAGAAGGAUUGUAUGAAACUUGGAGCAAAUCCAAGGAACAGUCACAAAAACAAUUACUGAGAUGGUGGGAAAAGGUUUAUGAUGAAAGUCAAGAAGCAGAACCUCCUGGGCCUUGAAAAGAUAGAUAUUAAAUAUCAAGUCUUUGAAGGAGUAUUUGAAGGGGAGAAAAACCAGUUACUUUCUGUUUUUUCAGAAGACCAAAUAAGAAGGCCUUUCUGGGGCUCAGGCUUUGCCCUGCAGCCAGAGAGUAAUGUACAUGUGUACAAGAUGCUCUUGUUUGGAAGAGGGAUUAUAUACAAGAAUGGGUGACUCGGGGAGAGUGUCCUUGAGGAGGAGUUACUUGGUUCGGCCACACCGUUCUCAGAUCAGUUGUCCUAAAUGUCACUCCGCCAUUGAAGUCCUAGCUGUUCAGUAAGCUCUCCAUGCCAUCCGUGACCCAGCCUUACCUCUUGUUUCAUGUGCCCUGUCUACUUUACUCCCCCACACCCCAAUAGCAUAGCCCAAGCCUCCCUGCUCUGUGACUCCUUCCCACUCUCUGACUUCCUCCUCCUCACCUCACCCGACUCAGCCCUGCUGUGACCAGUGGUGUUAGACACUUAACACAUCAUUAUAACAUCCUUUCAUUCACUGUAUGACUCAUUUAUGUCUGCCUUAUCUCUUCAACCUAGUUCUGAUCUUCCUGUGGAACGAGAAAGUGCCUCGAGAACACCGAACUGUCAAACACAUACAGUAUAUAAUACAAGUUCAGAAUAUAUUUCUUUACCGAUGGCACAUUAAAAAUAGAAUGGCUUUCCUUUUGGUUUAGAUGAUUCCUGCUUUAAAAUGUCUGAUAGCCAAUGACCACAUGAGGUGAUCUCGAGAAAGCUUGUAGCUCUCUGUGACUGUAUCAGGAAUUCAUUUCUAUUAUAUGAGACAGAAGCAAUAUAAUGUUGGGGUUGAGAGGGAACGGGCAGCUUGGCUCUACUCUUGGUUCUACUGUUGGCUUCUGCACUUCCUGCUUGCAUAACUUUAAAACAUUACAGAAACUCUCUAAGUCUUAUUAUCCUUAUUUGUAAUAUGUGGUUACUAAACCUACUUCCAAGGAUGGUUAUGAGGAUUAAAACAAUUGGUUAUGAAAAAGGUAUAUCAUAAUGCCAGGCUUGAAGUAAGUACUCAAUGAAUGGUAAUUUUUGUUGUUAACUGAGCACCUAAAUUAUUCCCUGCUACUGAGGUGAACUUUCUGGGAGGCACAAUGUGCUUGAUAUCUCUCAUUUGUCUCUCCAGGUCUCUACCAAAGUCCACAGCAUCUGUCAGGCCAACUUUUCCACACAGCCGCUGUUAAAGGCCACAUUGUUUCCCCCAAAACUCACAUGUUGAAGUCUUAACCUCCACUGACUCAAUGUGACUAUAUUUGGAGAUAGAGCCUUGAGAGAGAUGAUUAAGGAAAUGACCUCGUUCCUGAUGGCUGUUGCUAAUUUAUGGUGAAACACUAGGUCCCUGGCCAAUACCACAUGGACAUCCAAUCAAUUUACCCAGGGACAAGUCCACUCAAGAGCAUCAUUUAGAAGAGAGAAGCGUUGGAGUUAUUUGUUGUUGGAGUAUACGUUUAAGAAAAUCUAAUGUAUUCCCAUGAACAUUGUACUGAGAGGAACACACAGAUGCACUCAUGUGAGAUCUGGAAAGCCAGAGGAAAUAUGCUUCUGCCACUUCUGUGGUUUCUGUUGAUUAGUGCUACCAUCAGGUGCUGAGUUCCUGGGGAAGCACCCCAGUGUCCAUUACCAGCUCCCAUGUCAAGGUGAGGGCAGAGGCAUCCAUUGUUGGCCAGUGCAGAUCCAGCAGGCACAGAAUGGACCCAAUAAUUGCAGCGCCAGUGGCUUCCUGAUCCUGGACUGUACUAUGGCGACAUGGCCUUGAAUGGAGGGUUCUCUGAUGGCUUUCUGAUCUUCUGCCUCUCCCACUGUGACGGAGGAAGCAGCUUUUUUGGCAUCCUGUUCUUUGGUGCUGCUCUGGGGUCAUUCCUGGAAGCCUGGCCUGAAGCUUGCCCUUCCAACCUCCAGCGAUUCUGUAAGCACCCGAUUCCCUGCAUUAAAUCCUUUCUGCUGAAAAUAGCUAUUUUCUAUAACUGAAUCCUGACCGAUAGGGGGACUACACCUGCAUCUGUAAUGUUUUAUUUCUUUAAAAAGGCUCUGGACUAUGUAUGGCAGUAUGUUCACAUACAAAAAAUCUAGGGAGUGGGAAUGUGGAUGUUUGUUGUUUGUUGUGUGCUUGAGAUUGUUUUAUAUUCUAAUAUUUUUUAAGUUUAUUUAUUUAUUUUGAGAGACAGAGCACGAGCAGGGGAGAGGAGAGAAAGGGGGAGAGAGAGUAUCGCAAGCAGGCUGCACAAUGUCAGCAUAUAGCCCUACAUGGGGCUCGAUCCCAUGAACUGUGAGGUCAUGACCUUAGCCAAUAUCAAGAGUUGGCUGCUUAACAGACUGAGCCACACAGGUGCCCCUUUAUAUUCUGAAUUUUAAAAACGGUUUUGAUGACAAAAUCCAUGUGUAUAUGCCCAGUUUUUGUAGAUUGUUGCAUAUGCUCAUAUUUUUACCCAAAAGAGUAUUACAAAUUUUGAAAUUCUUAUGCAACAGGAUUUAAAAUAAAAUUACACAGAAUCUCAAGUAUACUAUAUUUUUCCUUUUUUUUUUUUUAAUGUUUUAUUUUAUUUUUGAGAGAGAGACACAGUGUGAGUGGGGAAGGAGCAGAGUGAGAAGGAGACACAGAAUCCAAAGCAGGAUCCAGGCUCUGGGCUGUCAGCACAGAGACCAUCACGGGGCUUGAACCCACGAGCCGUGAGACCACAACCCGAGCUGAAGUCGGCCACCCAACCAACUGAACCACCCAGGCGCCCCAAGAAUACUUACUAUAUUUCUAAAGUGUGAAUGUUUGAGGAACUUAUUUUUAUUUUAUGUUUUUAUUAAUGUAUAGAAAAAAAUCUCCAUAAAAUAUGCUUUUAUCUAAUGAAGAUCCAGUUCCACAUCCUUUUUGCAUGAAUUCCCUUUAUAUCGAAAGCUGCUUGGUUGUUAUAGAAGACAAUUGCUCAUUUGAUAAAGACAUGUUAAAGCUUUGAUAAUAUUUUUGUAAAUUUUUUUUAAUGUUUAUUUAUUUUUGAGAGAAAGAGAGACAGACAGAGAGAGAGCUUGAGCAGGGGAGGGACAGAGAGAGAGAGGGAGACACAGAAUCCAAAGCAGGCUCCAGGCUCUGAGCUGUCUGCACAGAGCCUGACACGGGGCCCGAACUCAUGAACCCUGAGGUCAUGACCUGAGCCGAAGUCAGACACUUAGCCUAUUGUUGGGAAGACUAAGUAGUAUGUGCAAGGCAGACAUGGUCUCCAAAGAAAGAGGUGCCGCAAAGCUUUGAUCAUAUUAAAAAACCUCCAUAUAAAAACAAUAUCAUGGAUUGAACGACAGAGGCAAGUUUCUGUGUCAAGGUUCCCUUUCAAAUUUAUCAGUAAGAAGAGAAUUAGCUUCAUUACCUGAAUUUAUUUUUCAUUAUCCUAAAAUGAUAAAAUAAAUCCAAGGAGACCAUAGCAGGCUCAAAUUGAUGUUACAAAAGCAAUUACUCUGUACUAGCUUUGCAAUUCUUCUGUAAAUCUAAAAAUAUUUCAAAAUCAAUGUUUUUUUUAGAAAAAAAUUACUAUUGUCUCUCCUAUCCAAUGCUAGUAGACAUGUGUCAUAAAGUUGCUUAAAUUUUGUCUGUUUUCUUGGAAUUUCAGAUAUUUCUUCUGCAAGCAUGCUUAUCUGGUUGUACAGUCACAUUUUAGUUAAUUUCAUUAUUUGAACUCCAUGCAAUGUUUUAAAGUUUGUUUAUGUAUGUAUGUAUAUAUGUAUUUAAGUAAUCUCUACACCCAACCUAGGCUUCCAACUAACAACCCUGAGAUCAAGAGCCAAAUGCUCCACUGGGGCGCCUGGCCAGGCACCUCAAACUCCAUGCAAUUUUGUUUUUGAAUAAUAAGGUCUCUGUCUAGAAAGAAAAUCUGAGAACAUAUGGGCUUUUGAAUAAAGGUACAGGCAUGCACCUUAUCUACCAUUGUAAAUGGAGUGGGCUUUUUUCCUUUUAAUAAAGUUGCUGAACUAAUUACCAACUUCUGCAUUGCUGAAAAAUCUGCUUUACAAUGACCUUUGUGUCUCAUUCUUUUCUCAAAGAGAAUAUAAUUUUACUCUGGUCUAUAAAAAUUGUGCUUGAGCAAGAGCAAACAUUUCAUCUACUCUUUUCAAUUUUGUCUUAAAUUAAGAAGCUCCCUUUUUACAAAUUCUUCUUCUGUAUUUUAGAUCUGUUAAUUAAGACGGGGGUGCCUGGGUGGCUCAGUUGUUUGUCCAACUCUCGAUUUUGGCUCAGGUCAUGGUCUCACAGUUUGUGAGAUCAAGCCCUACGUUGGGCUCUGUGCUAUUAGCACAGAAUCCUAACCCUGCUUAGGAUUCUCUCUCUCCCUUUUCUCUGCCCCUCCCUGGCUUGUGCUGUCUCUCAAAAUAAAUAAAUAAACUUAAACAAGAACAAAGAAGGAGAAGAGGAAAACUUGAAGAAGAGUCAAAGGAGAACAAUAAAGAGAAAUGACUAAAACUUAGACAACUGAAGUCAAGAAAUACCAGAAGUAGUUUUCUGGAAGAAGUAUAGGAAAGACCUAAUAAUGGUGUUCCAUAUGUGUGGAUGCUAAUAUAAAAAAACAAAAACAAAAAUUUUGUUUUUAAAAAUUUCUCUUCGGAGCUAAUCAAAUUUAAAAUUUCCAAGUAAGAGUUGGGUUUAAACAGGUGUAGAAACUAGGGUAAAAAAACCAAAUAUCCUAUUGGUAGAAGUCAGUCGUAGUAAAAAGAAAAAUCUAUUUCUGGGCUAAAAGGCCAGGUGAUUUGACCAUAGAAGGAGGGGAUGUCACUUGGCAUUUUAAGGGCCAUUCCUUCGAAAGAAUGUUGACUAGUCACCAGCGGCUUUAUGUGUUGGAAAGAGAUUCUUGUCAACCAGCUUCCAUCUCCUCCUGACUCAAAGAGUCUAUUCCCCUGUGUGGCUUGGUCACUAACCUGGGCAACAAACCAACAGAGAGUUUUGAUACAUCUUGAUUCCACUGGUGUCAUUCUUUUUCUUCUUCACGUUAAACAAUGUCUGGGGGUGCCAGGGUGGCUCAGUUGGUUGAGGCCCCGACUCUUGAUUUCGGUUCAGGUCAUGAUUCCAGGGUUGUGAGAUCGAGUCCCGCUUCAGGGUCUGUGCUGACAACCCAGAGCCUGCCUGGGAUUCUCUCUCCCUCUCUCUCUCUCUCUCUCUCUCUCUCUGCCCCUUUCUCGCCCUCUCUCUCAAAAUAAAUACAUAAACAUUAAAAAAAAAAAAUGUCUGAAAGUUGGUCCUGUCAUACUGAUACCUUGGGAGCCCUGGGGAGUGGUCUCUUUGUGCCGGCCUCUCGUCUUGGUCCCAGGGGCUGGGGUAGUUCAGGAUGACCUUCUGCACAGGGUGUGGGCCUCGCCCGCUGGCUCCCAGGAGGGGCUGCCCGCGUGGCUGGAACACUUGAUGGUAGGCUGCUUGAGGGUGGUCGAGGCCGCCUGCAGGUGAAGACAGCAAAGUGAACAGGGCAGAACGAUUCUAACUCCUUCGUGUGAAAGUAUAAGCUCACUGCCAAUUUUUGUCUCAAUACUGAGGGUUCCAGAUGUCAGCUACCACCUCUGUAACGUCCGCCAUGUUUCCGUACUAUUUUUUAUUUGAUAGUUUUCGGUCAGUCAUUUUUUUCCCCUUAAUAAAAACAUCUGUGAAAUCAUGAGUGUGGUGUUCUAAUUGGAAAGCACGAAGCUCCCCCCAGGCCCCUAUUUUAAUAAGAUAUUUAGGAUGAUCUAACCAUGAGGAUCGGCUCAUACCACCAUUCCUACCAUAAUUUCCCAGGUUUCCAGAACACAAGACUAGGAGAAAUGACCUCCAUGGAAGAUAGAGAAUUCCCCCAAGUGGACACAACGCACACACACUCACACACACACAUAUACCAUUCCCUCUUAAGGAAGAAGUAAAUGAAUGAAAACUUGGCUCAUACCUCUGGGAAGUAGCUAACCAGUUGGCAAUACCUCCUGACCUUUAUUCUUCUCUUUUUGAAGCCUACAUGUGCUUGGGACCAUGGCAGUUAGAUAAGGGCAGGCCUGGUGGCUCAGUCGGUUGAGUGUCUGACUUUGGCUCAGGUCAUGAUCUCGUGAUUCAUGGGUUUGAGCCCCACAUCGGGCUCACUGCUGUCAGUGCAGAGCCUGGAGCCCGCUUCAGAUCCUCUCCCCGCCCCCCCCCCCCCUUUCUCUGUCUCUGUCUCUCUCUCAAAAAUAAAUAAACAUUAGGAAAAAAAUUUAUAGAAAAGGGCAGACCUCAGGACACAGCCAGGGCUGGUGGGGACUUAUGUGCAUGUGUAACCCAAGAGAAAGUUGGUCCCAGCCAGGCCCAGGAGCAGCAGGGUUCCAAGGGAAGGAGGGCAUCCUGCCUGACCAGGUGAAGGAAGAGAAUUCAAGGCCAGAGGAAGGAUGGGGAGAAAGCAGUAAGGAUGAGAGGAAGCCUCUGAGGGAACUCUGAGCCCAGAGGGGCUCAAGAGUGGGAAAUCUAUGGAGCGCCUGGGUGGGUCGGUCGGUUAAGUGUCCAACUUCGGCUCAGGUCAUGAUCUUGUGGUUCGUGAGUUUGAGCCCCGCAUUAGCCUCUGUGCUGAUAGCUUGGAGCCUGGAGCUCGCUUUAGAUUCUAUGUCUCCCUCUCUCUCUCUGUUCCUCCCCUAUUUGCGUGCGCACUCUCUCUCUCUCUCUC
This is an RNA transcript of Acinonyx jubatus (cheetah), 9957 nucleotides long. It is a transcript of the gene named translation initiation factor IF-2-like, with no coding region annotated. The transcript has 5 exons. The record is from RefSeq and is a predicted model, not a curated record. NCBI's taxonomy places the organism in Eukaryota, Metazoa, Chordata, Mammalia, Carnivora, Felidae.